Molecule: ribosomal RNA, 412 nt
Filed under: uncultured Lactobacillus sp.
Lineage: Bacteria; Bacillati; Bacillota; Bacilli; Lactobacillales; Lactobacillaceae
Description: bacterial SSU rRNA
Rfam family: Bacterial small subunit ribosomal RNA
Source: RNAcentral
GCCCAAGAGAUCGGGAUAACACCUGGAAACAGAUGCUAAUACCGGAUAACAACAGAUGAUGCCUAUCAACUGUUUUAAAAAGAUGGUUCUGCUAUCACUCUUGGAUGGACCUGCGGUGCAUUAGCUAGUUGGUAGGGUAACGGCCUACCAAGGCGGUGAUGCAUAGCCGAGUUGAGAGACUGAUCGGCCACAUUGGGACUGAGACACGGCCCAAACUCCUACGGGAGGCAGCAGUAGGGAAUCUCCACAAUGGACGCAAGUCUGAUGGAGCAACGCCGCGUGAGUGAAGAAGGGUUUCGGCUCGUAAAGCUCUGUUGUUGGUGAAGAAGGACAGGGGUAGUAACUGACCUUUGUUUGACGGUAAUCAAUUAGAAAGUCACGGGCUAACUACGUGCCAGCAGCCGCGGUAAAU